RNAcentral lists this ribosomal RNA (468 nucleotides) under uncultured bacterium. RNAcentral's name for it is "partial 16S ribosomal RNA". It matches the Rfam family "Bacterial small subunit ribosomal RNA", at positions 28 to 507 of the family's 1533-position model. The record is from RNAcentral.
GACGAAAGAUGGCGGGGGGAGGAACACAGGCAAGUCGAACGGAAAGGCCCUGCUUUUGUGGGGUGCUCGAGUGGCGAACGGGUGAGUAACACGUGAGUAACCUGCCCUUGACUUUGGGAUAACUUCAGGAAACUGGGGCUAAUACCGGAUAGGAGCUCCUGCUGCAUGGUGGGGGUUGGAAAGUUUCGGCGGUUGGGGAUGGACUCGCGGCUUAUCAGCUUGUUGGUGGGGUAGUGGCUUACCAAGGCUUUGACGGGUAGCCGGCCUGAGAGGGUGACCGGCCACAUUGGGACUGAGAUACGGCCCAGACUCCUACGGGAGGCAGCAGUGGGGAAUAUUGCACAAUGGGCGGAAGCCUGAUGCAGCAACGCCGCGUGCGGGAUGACGGCCUUCGGGUUGUAAACCGCUUUCGCCUGUGACGAAGCGUGAGUGACGGUAAUGGGUAAAGAAGCACCGGCUAACUACGUG